GAUGAGCGCUGGCGGCGCGCUUAACACAUGCAAGUCGAACGGGAAUUAUUUUAUUGAAACUUCGGUCGAUUUAAUUUAAUUCUAGUGGCGGACGGGUGAGUAACGCGUGGGUAUCCUGCCUUAUACAGGGGGAUAACAGUCAGAAAUGGCUGCUAAUACCGCAUAAGCGCACAGAGCUGCAUGGCUCAGUGUGAAAAACUCCGGUGGUAUAAGAUGGACCCGCGUUGGAUUAGCUGGUUGGUGGGGUAACGGCCCACCAAGGCGACGAUCCAUAGCCGGCCUGAGAGGGUGAACGGCCACAUUGGGACUGAGACACGGCCCAGACUCCUACGGGAGGCAGCAGUGGGGAAUAUUGCACAAUGGGGGAAACCCUGAUGCAGCGACGCCGCGUGAAGGAAGAAGUAUCUCGGUAUGUAAACUUCUAUCAGCAGGGAAGAUAGUGACGGUACCUGACUAAGAAGCCCCGGCUAACUACGUG
This 478-nucleotide ribosomal RNA is filed under the name uncultured bacterium. Its description in RNAcentral is "partial 16S ribosomal RNA". It matches the Rfam family "Bacterial small subunit ribosomal RNA", at positions 28 to 507 of the family's 1533-position model. The record is from RNAcentral.